AAAAAUGAAGUUUAAAAAAAGGCUUCUGACUGAGACUGCAUUUUUCAACAUGCCUGAAAUAUGAGGCACAUUGCUGAAGAGGAAAUGAGAAGUGGUGGUGUUUGCAUAAAAUGUAACUGAAUUUUGGACUCAUAAUGAAACACUUAAGGUCCCUUUCGUUGCUCAUACUAAAUUAACACUGAAGUCAAUGGGGAAUUUGAGUGGACAAUAAAUGAGGGAUUGUGCCUCAAUUUUGAAUGUUGUUACUGACAAGAGGAGACAAAAAGAUGAACUAAUAUAUUAGAAAUAUAAUAAUUGAUUUUUAUUUAAAAAUAAUCUAAUUUAUUUUGUUAGUGAUUACAGAAGAACUUAACUGAAGAUUGUACUUUUCUAAAUAACUCUCAUACUAACUUAUCAUCAUUGUGGUUCAUGCUGCCCAUUUUAUAUAAUGUAGCCUCAAAACACUUGCUCACAUCAUUAAUUAACUUGUAAUCAUUUAGCGUUCCACUUAGUUUGCACUGUGGCUCCAAGAAACUCAGGAGAAGUCAUGCCAAAUGAUUUCAGAAGAGCCAAAGUGAAACACAGCCGAAACUUAUCUGGCUAAUCUAAGCACCAAACUGAAUGGACUAAUAACAGGGGUGAUGGAAAUACAGCUUAAGGUGGAAUGAAUCCAGGAAGAAAUGAAGUCCAGCAGAUCUAAACAAAAGAUGAAAGACUUCCUAAAGGCAAUGAAGCUAAAAAAGGAUCAAGCCAAAAAAACAAUUUGCAGAUCAUUGAGUAAGCAAUGACGAAGCUACCACACAAAGCCUGGCAAAAGGGGAACUGUGUGAUUCUUUUGAAGAAAGUGAAAAGUAGAGCAGAAGGAAAGAGAGUCAGUGGAGGUCCUCUGUUCAUAAUGAACUACUGUAGCAGGCAGCUGUACUUGAGACUACAUUGGGACUCAUCAACAACGAUACUGGGAUGAGAAAUGUUAAUUACAAUUGAAUAGCCUCCUGGUUUGGCAGAAAUCCUGGGACAAAGUGGUGGCACUCGGGUUGCAGCUGCAAUAUUUUAUACAAUCCCUGAUAUAAAAACACAGUUGUGCCCUCAUUUUCAUAUAGUGUUUACAGAGGAAGUGGAAAUGGAUUUGUUUCUUUGAGAUAGAAUCCCAAGUUUUUAUUGUGACUUUAGUAGUAGGUUGAUGGUCACGGAAACUGGCUUAUAUUUCUUUGCAUCCAAAUCCAUUUCUGUAACGUUACUCCCAGACAAACUAACUGCUCAUCAGGCACCCAGUGAUUCUCUUUGUGCCCUUUAAAUAAAAGGAAAUAUAGUAAUUAUCAUGCUGGAAACCUGGCAGAUACCAGUGAAUCUGUGGAUUUACUAGAGCAAAUUUAUUACAAUCUGGAAUUUGUUAAUAGCCUCUAGGAGGUGAUUAUGCACUCAGUGAGCAAGCUUAACACCAGUGAGCCAGAAACCUGGGGCCAUGCAUGUGCCUUAGGUCUCAACUGAAACAGGGUUUCCAUAGUGACUCACUCAAGUACUUGGAAGGGGACCAGAUAGCCACCAUAUUUUCCAUAUGUAUUGUACUGUUCAGUGGCUUUCAGUAGACUUUGCACAGGAUGCGAUGGAACAUUUAUCUUGCAGAAUUUGAAUAUGUGUUGCAAAUGCCUGUAGAAAUGUCAUCUGUGACCUCAUUUAUUUAGUGUCUGCUACUCAGAGUGAAGGAGGGGCAGUAGUAGUCAGUUUUGAGGAUCAGCCACUAUGUUGCAAGGCAAUGCAUAUUGACAGAUCCAGGCAGAAAUAAAUGUUGAACAAAGAGCUGAGCAGUGCCAGGCUGAGCUUAAGUGAUCCUUAGCUUCCUAUAGGACCCACUCUUUCCCCUGAGUAUUCCUUCUCCUCCCCACCCAAAGUUCCCAAUAAGUGUGUUGGCCUAUGAAGCACUGGACCCUCUCACACUAAAAAGUUUUUGUGUCAAUGCCCUGUAGGUUGAUUUAAGCCCUUUUCUCACUUGGUUUAUUCACGAGGGGCCUCCAAUCAGGCCAUUUUCAGUGGAAGGUUCAGUUGUGGAAUUUGCUUCCUACUUUGGUUUCUCAGAACCCAAAUCCAUUGACUUUCAGGUCAUGUUACAAGGCUCCUUUGUUCCACCAGGCUUUUCCUGGGUGAGUGGCAGAGAAGAUGAGUGGAGGUGAGAGGAGAGCUGUGUGUUUGCAAGAGGUGAGAUCAAGGUAUUUGGGACAGUUUACUAUUUAUUGCUUUUGGACAAAGGUCUACUUUUUUCAUUCUAAUACGUGUUUAUGGGCUUAGAGUGCUGAAUCAAUACAAUUUUAAAAAUCAAAAUAAAUAAAAAUGUAAGUAAAUAAACUCACGUAGUGCUGUUACUAGAAUUCCACACUAAUGGCAAGAUCUGAGCAGAGAGAAAUGUUCACAGAAUUAAUGAGCACAUUUCAGCUGAGCUCUGGUGCCCCACAACUUUCCCCUAUGUGUUUGUCCCUCAUCUCCUGCCUCAGUCUCCUCAAGAAUAAAUACAGCGCAGCAGAUUGAGAGCAUUAGGGUAACAGGCAAAUAGACAAUUUCACAGGAACUACAUUACAAUAGUACAACCAAUCUAAUUAAUUUAUGCAUGGUAAAAUCAGAAGUACACAAAAGUUACCAAGAGUUGCAUUUACUUGGUUAUGCAGUUCUCAUAAAGUCACCAAUUGCAUCCAUAUUAUGUCCCCACUAAAGUCAGUGGAGUUGCAUCAAUUUUAAUUUGAUCUAGCAUUUAACUCGAUAUGUUUUGUAGUAUUCUUUAUUGAUUCUUGAGAAGUGCCAGCCAACUGUUCCACAUACAGCCACCCAUCUAGUUGUCAGAAAGGACAGUUUUGUCUUUUUUUCUGCCAUCCACUUCAGCUUUUCUAUGCCAGCAAUUAUAAUAGGCAUAUAAUGCUGUAUCAAAGAAUCUCUUAGACAAAUACUGCCAGAUCUGCCUUUUGCUUUAUGGAGCAGUAUUAUAUCCAGUUCCGGGAUCAUUAACUCUAACUUACCAGUUGGAAGAGUGACACAGAAAAAAUGGGAUGGGCUCAGUUGUUGCUGAGGAGGCCGGUAAGUCUGUUGCCAUACUAGUGGAGUUGAUGUCUAGAAACGAUGGACAGAGUUAGACACCAAUGGGGUGGAAGACAAUGAAGGAAUCCAAUCCAUUUCCACCAAUCUGAUCCUCCAGUUGUAAUUGUACUAACUAGCAGCAAUGUUUGCGCCUGCUAGCCACACUUGCCUUUUUUUCUUGCAUGUAUGGAGAGUCCAUUUUGGUGUUCAUUAUGUCCUUAGUUUCCCAGAAGUUCCACGAUAUAGAAUUCCAUUUUCUCCUGUAAGAGAGUUACUCAGUUAAAACCUAGUCCUCACCAGUCAUUAUUGCUGCCUGGAAACCACAGCCACAGAGAGUUACAGAUGAAAUCUUUCCAGAUGUACCUUCCAACAGCUUGUGUGCUUAGAAAAUGUGAGAAGAAACAACAUUAGACAAUCUGUGUAAGAAAGUUUGUAACUGUGCAUUAUGGGUGAAAUACACCCAGUGGUUAUGACUAGCACAGGGUCUAAGCAACAUUUUAGUCCAAUUUAAGUGGUGCAUAGGUCCUUUGCUGGCCCUCUGCUCAAAAUUAAAUUUCAGCCCAUUGGCAUGACAGAGUAUACUGUACUAUAUGGGUGACAUGUCUAUAACAACAUAGUGAGUGCAUUCCCCCAACCUCUGAUUGUAUCUUCAUUUCCUAAAGGCUUGUCCUUAUCCUGAAGAGAGUAGUGCUAAUGCUAAAUCUAAAAUGAGAAAACUAGUUUCAUUACAGAAUGGUUGUCAGAAUUUUAUCAUUGGCUUUUGUUUUUUGUGUACAUUAUCUUGGUCAUUCUCUUGCAUCUGUUACUUUUCUGAGUUGUUCAGUCUUGGAUCUGAACAGCACAGUUAUGCUGGGUCUGUUUUCAUUUUGGUUCACUUAGUGGCAGGUCCCCACUCUCUUGCCCUCUUUUACAUACCGUUUGGCCAAAAGAGGUUAUAUCAUUAAAGAUGCUUUUUAUACUGUUAACUUGCUUAUUCUUUAUAAUCUUUAAGAUCCCUUCUUUGGACUUUAGAUUUAUUUAGGAACUUGAGUUAAGUUUCUUCGUCCACUGUACAUUCCCACUGAACUGGCUGGAAUUUGCUUCCAUUCAGACUAACCUGAAAAAUGUAUCUUUUUAGCUUGCGCUUUGAACUUAACAGUUUCACUUUAAGGCUCUUGGCUCUUAUUUUAUUUCAAGCACUCUGGGUUACAGUGCAUGGUGACAAGUUACAAUGAAAUAUGUAUAGUCUGUGGGAUUUUCAGGAUAUCAUGGAAAGACUGCAUGUUGGCUAAAGAUGAAUAAAUAGUAGUUGGCAAGUAUGCUACCUGGGAGCUUUCUAAUGCCUGUCAGUUACAUGGUAAAAAUGUGUGUUUGUAAUGUUUGAACUGCAGGUUUUUCAUGGGAUUGAUGCUAUGCAUGGCCACACAGCUGUUCACAGUAAAAAAAAAAAAAAAAAAAAAAAAAAAAGGGGGGGGGGGUUACUUUGUAAUAAAUUAGGAGGAUGUUACCGU
This is a long non-coding RNA of Dermochelys coriacea (leatherback sea turtle), 4529 nucleotides long. RefSeq lists it as uncharacterized. The record is from RefSeq and is a predicted model, not a curated record. The transcript is spliced from 3 exons. Lineage: Eukaryota; Metazoa; Chordata; Testudines; Dermochelyidae.